CUACGGGAGGCAGCAGUGGGGAAUAUUGGACAAUGGGCGCAAGCCUGAUCCAGCCAUGCCGCGUGCGGGAAGAAGGCCUUCGGGUUGUAAACCGCUUUUGUCAGGGAAGAAAAGCUCUGGGUUAAUACCCUGGGGUGCUGACGGUACCUGAAGAAUAAGCACCGGCUAACUACGUGCCAGCAGCCGCGGUAAUACGUAGGGUGCGAGCGUUAAUCGGAAUUACUGGGCGUAAAGCGUGCGCAGGCGGUCAUGCAAGACGGAUGUGAAAUCCCCGGGCUCAACCUGGGAACUGCAUUCGUGACUGCAUGACUGGAGUGUGGCAGAGGGGAAUGGAAUUCCGCGUGUAGCAGUGAAAUGCGUAGAUAUGCGGAGGAACACCGAUGGCGAAGGCAGUUCCCUGGGCCUGCACUGACGCUCAUGCACGAAAGCGUGGGGAGCGAACGGGAUUAGAAACCCCGGUAGUCC
Molecule: ribosomal RNA, 465 nt
Filed under: uncultured bacterium
Lineage: Bacteria
Description: bacterial SSU rRNA
Rfam family: Bacterial small subunit ribosomal RNA
Source: RNAcentral